This 329-nucleotide ribosomal RNA is filed under the name uncultured eukaryote. RNAcentral describes it as "partial 18S ribosomal RNA". It matches the Rfam family "Eukaryotic small subunit ribosomal RNA", at positions 1470 to 1796 of the family's 1831-position model. The record is from RNAcentral.
CCCUUAGAUGUUCUGGGCCGCACGCGCGCUACACUGACGAUGGCAACGAGUUUUUCCUUCGCCGAAAGGUGUGGGUAAUCUUUUGAAACAUCGUCGUGCUGGGGAUAGAUCAUUGCAAUUUUUGAUCUUGAACGAGGAAUUCCUAGUAAGCGCGAGUCAUCAGCUCGCGUUGAUUACGUCCCUGCCCUUUGUACACACCGCCCGUCGCUACUACCGAUUGAAUGGUUUAGUGAGGACUCCUGAUUGGCGCCGCCGCCCCGGCAACGGAGCAGCGGACUGCCGAAAAGUUGUUCAAACUUGAUCGUUUAGAGGAAGUAAAAGUCGUAACA